AGUGAACGCUGGCGGCAGGCCUAACACAUGCAAGUCGAACGGUAGCACAGAGGAGCUUGCUCCUUGGGUGACGAGUGGCGGACGGGUGAGGAAUACAUCGGAAUCUACCCUGUCGUGGGGGAUAACGUAGGGAAACUUACGCUAAUACCGCAUACGAACUGAGGUUGAAAGCCGCGGACCGCAAGGCGUCGCGCGAUUGGAUGAGCCGAUGUCCGAUUAGCUAGUUGGCGGGGUAAUGGCCCACCAAGGCGGCGAUCGGUAGCUGGUCUGAGAGGAUGAUCAGCCACACGGGAACUGAGACACGGUCCAGACUCCUACGGGAGGAAGCAGUGGGGAAUAUUGGGCAAUGGGCGCAAGCCUGAUCCAGCCAGGCCGCGUGUGUGAAGAAGGCCUUCGGGUUGUAAAGCACUUUUGUUGGGAAAGAAAUCCUGUCGGUUAAUACCCGGCGGGGCUGACGGUACCCAAAGAAUAAGCACCGGCUAACUUCGUGCCAGCCGCCGCCGUAACAC
This 509-nucleotide ribosomal RNA is filed under the name uncultured bacterium. RNAcentral describes it as "bacterial SSU rRNA". It matches the Rfam family "Bacterial small subunit ribosomal RNA", at positions 29 to 526 of the family's 1533-position model. The record is from RNAcentral.